GUGGGGAAUCUUGCGCAAUGGGCGAAAGCCUGACGCAGCCAUGCCGCGUGAAUGAUGAAGGUCUUAGGAUUGUAAAAUUCUUUCAUCGGGGACGAUAAUGACGGUACCCGGAGAAGAAGCUCCGGCUAACUUCGUGCCAGCAGCCGCGGUAAUACGAAGGGGGCUAGCGUUGCUCGGAAUUACUGGGCGUAAAGGGCGCGUAGGCGGACAGCUUAGUCAGAGGUGAAAGCCCAGGGCUCAACCUUGGAAUUGCCUUUGAUACUGGCUGUCUUGAGUUUGGGAGAGGUGAGUGGAACUCCGAGUGUAGAGGUGAAAUUCGUAGAUAUUCGGAAGAACACCAGUGGCGAAGGCGACUCACUGGCCCAAUACUGACGCUGAGGCGCGAAAGCGUGGGGAGCAAACAGGAUUAGAAACCCCAGUAGUCC
Molecule: ribosomal RNA, 425 nt
Filed under: uncultured bacterium
Lineage: Bacteria
Description: partial 16S ribosomal RNA
Rfam family: Bacterial small subunit ribosomal RNA
Source: RNAcentral